This 709-nucleotide ribosomal RNA is filed under the name uncultured Enterobacteriaceae bacterium. RNAcentral's name for it is "bacterial SSU rRNA". It matches the Rfam family "Bacterial small subunit ribosomal RNA", at positions 791 to 1502 of the family's 1533-position model. The record is from RNAcentral. Lineage: Bacteria; Pseudomonadati; Pseudomonadota; Gammaproteobacteria; Enterobacterales; Enterobacteriaceae.
UAGUCACGCUGUAAACGAUGUCGAUUUGGAGUUUGUUGCCUAGAGUGAUGGGCUCCGAAGCUAACGCGAUAAAUCGACCGCUGGGGAGUACGGCCGCAAGGUUAAAACUCAAAUGAAUUGACGGGGGCCCGCACAAGCGGUGGAGCAUGUGGUUUAAUUCGAUGCAACGCGAAGAACCUUACCUGGUCUUGACAUCCAUAGAAUUCUGCAGAGAUGUGGGAGUGCCUUCGGGAACUAUGAGACAGGUGCUGCAUGGCUGUCGUCAGCUCGUGUUGUGAAAUGUUGGGUUAAGUCCCGCAACGAGCGCAACCCUUAUUCUUUGUUGCCAGCGAUUUGGUCGGGAACUCAAAGGAGGCUGCCGUUGAUAAAGCGGAGGAAGGUGGGGACGACGUCAAGUCAUCAUGGCCCUUACGACCAGGGCUACACACGUGCUACAAUGGCGUAUACAAAGGGAAGCGAAGGUGCGAGCUGGAGCGGAUCUCAUAAAGUACGUCUAAGUUCGGAUUGGAGUCUGCAACUCGACUCCAUGAAGUCGGAAUCGCUAGUAAUCGUAGAUCAGAAUGCUACGGUGAAUACGUUCCCGGGCCUUGUACACACCGCCCGUCACACCAUGGGAGUGGGUUGCACCAGAAGUAGAUAGCUUAACCGCGAGGGGGGCGUUUACCACGGUGUGAUUCAUGACUGGGGUGAAGUCGUAACAAGGUAACCA